Long non-coding RNA from Oncorhynchus tshawytscha (Chinook salmon), 1398 nucleotides. Lineage: Eukaryota; Metazoa; Chordata; Actinopteri; Salmoniformes; Salmonidae. The record is from Ensembl.
CUCUGACCGAGGCAGUUUGACUGGUUAAUAGGAAUGGAACCUCUGACCGAGGCAGUUUGACUGGUUAACAUGGAUGGAACCUCUGACCGAGGCAGUUUGUCUGGUUAACAUCAUUAUAAUUCUAUGGUAAGAACCUGCUUUGACCCGGAGCUCCUGUCUCCUAGGUGAUCAACGAGGGGGAGGAGCCGGAGAACUUCUUCUGGGUGGGGAUUGGCUGUCAGAAGGUAUACGACGAGGACGCUGACUAUAUGAAGUACGCCAGACUGUUCCGCUGCUCCAAUGAGAAGGGAUACUUCGCCGUGUCUGAGAAAUGUUCUGACUUCUGUCAGGACGACCUGGCUGACGAUGACAUCAUGCUACUGGACAACGGCAAAGAGGUGUACAUGUGGGUGGGAACUCAGACCAGCCAGGUAGAAAUUAAACUCAGCCUCAAAGCCUGCCAGGUCUACAUCCAGCACAUGCGUUCUAAGGAGACGGAGACCCCCAGGAAGCUGCGUCUGGUCAGGAAGGGAAACGAGCCACACUGCUUCACACGAUGCUUCCACGGCUGGGGUGCCUUCAAGACUGCGCUCGCGUAGACACGUCCACUCUACAUGGCCACGGUCUUUAGGACAUCGCUGUGUCUAUGUUGGCUUUAUCAUAUCAGCGUUUUACCUGCUUGAUACCCCUUCCCCUCCCUUUACCCUUCCUGUCCCCCCCCCAGUUACCCUUCCUGUCCCCCUCCCUUUACCCUUCUUGCCCCCCCGUUACCCUUCCCUUCCUUUCCCCCCCUCCCUUUACCCUUCCUGUCCCCCCCCCCCCCUCACCCUUCCCCUCCCUUUACCCUUCCUGUUCCCCCUCCCUUUACCCUUCCUGUUCCCCCCCUCCCUUUACCCUUCCUGUUCCCCCUCCCUUUACCCUUCCUGUUCCCCCUCCCUUUACCCUUCCUGUCCCCCUCCCUUUACCCUUCCUGUCCCCUUCCCCUUCCCCUCCCUUUACCCUUCCUGUCCCCCCGUCACCCUUCCCCUUCCUGUCCCCCCCCGUCACCCUUCCCCUCCCUUUACCCUUCCCCUCCCUGUCCCCCCCCGUCCCCCGUACCCUUCCUGCCUCCCCUCACCUCCCCGUUCCCCUCUCCCCUCCCUCACUUCUGUUCCCCUCUCCUCCCUCCUCUCAGGAUAUCCGUGGCAACGACGUGGCCGUUCUAACAUCCCAGACACAGAGAGAGGAAUCUGUAUUUCUGUUUUGCGUAUCAGUGAUUGGUCCGGGCCUUGCCGUAGAUUUUUGUAAUACCAGAUAUAGAUGUAUAUUUACUGUACUGCAGCAGCUCAACGUGCGCACGCCUGGCUGUAAUUGUGCACGCUGUCACUUGCACACACUAUUUAUGGAUUUUAUAUGAGAAUAAAGUUUCACUGAAUCUGC